Molecule: ribosomal RNA, 689 nt
Filed under: Variovorax sp. EECC-46
Lineage: Bacteria; Pseudomonadati; Pseudomonadota; Betaproteobacteria; Burkholderiales; Comamonadaceae
Description: bacterial SSU rRNA
Rfam family: Bacterial small subunit ribosomal RNA
Source: RNAcentral
GCGGCGAGUGGCGACGGGUGAGUAAUACAUCGGAACGUGCCCAAUCGUGGGGGAUAACGCAGCGAAAGCUGUGCUAAUACCGCAUACGAUCUACGGAUGAAAGCAGGGGAUCGCAAGACCUUGCGCGAAUGGAGCGGCCGAUGGCAGAUUAGGUAGUUGGUGAGGUAAAGGCUCACCAAGCCUUCGAUCUGUAGCUGGUCUGAGAGGACGACCAGCCACACUGGGACUGAGACACGGCCCAGACUCCUACGGGAGGCAGCAGUGGGGAAUUUUGGACAAUGGGCGCAAGCCUGAUCCAGCCAUGCCGCGUGCAGGAUGAAGGCCUUCGGGUUGUAAACUGCUUUUGUACGGAACGAAACGGCCUUUUCUAAUAAAGAGGGCUAAUGACGGUACCGUAAGAAUAAGCACCGGCUAACUACGUGCCAGCAGCCGCGGUAAUACGUAGGGUGCAAGCGUUAAUCGGAAUUACUGGGCGUAAAGCGUGCGCAGGCGGUGAUGUAAGACAGUUGUGAAAUCCCCGGGCUCAACCUGGGAACUGCAUCUGUGACUGCAUUGCUGGAGUACGGCAGAGGGGGAUGGAAUUCCGCGUGUAGCAGUGAAAUGCGUAGAUAUGCGGAGGAACACCGAUGGCGAAGGCAAUCCCCUGGGCCUGUACUGACGCUCAUGCACGAAAGCGUGGGGAGCAAACA